Molecule: non-coding RNA, 106 nt
Organism: Gossypium arboreum
Lineage: Eukaryota; Viridiplantae; Streptophyta; Magnoliopsida; Malvales; Malvaceae
Source: Rfam
AUACCAUGAUGAGGGCAUUUUCGUAAUAGUUCUUUAAAUUUUUCCCACGCCUCAUACAAGGACUCAUCAUUCAUCUGUUGAAAAGUAGUGAUUUCAUUUUGUAACU